RNAcentral lists this ribosomal RNA (253 nucleotides) under uncultured bacterium. RNAcentral's name for it is "partial 16S ribosomal RNA". It matches the Rfam family "Bacterial small subunit ribosomal RNA", at positions 524 to 776 of the family's 1533-position model. The record is from RNAcentral.
GACAGAGGGUGCAAACGUUGUUCGGAAUUACUGGGCGCAAAGCGCGUGUAGGCGGCAGGGCAUGUCGGAUGUGAAAUCCCGUGGCUCAACCACGGAAGUGCACCCGAAACUGCCCAGCUUGAGUCUCGGAGAGGAAGGCGGAAUGCUUGGUGUAGAGGUGAAAUUCGUAGAUAUCAAGCGGAACACCGGUGGCGAAGGCGGCCUUCUGGACGAUGACUGACGCUGAGACGCGAAAGCGUGGGGAGCAAACAGG